Molecule: ribosomal RNA, 253 nt
Filed under: uncultured bacterium
Lineage: Bacteria
Description: partial 16S ribosomal RNA
Rfam family: Bacterial small subunit ribosomal RNA
Source: RNAcentral
GACGUAGGGUGCAAGCGUUGUCCGGAUUUAUUGGGCGUAAAGAGCUCGUAGGCGGCUUGUUGCGUCGACUGUGAAAACCCGCGGCUUAACCGCGGGCUUGCAGUUGAUACGGGCAGGCUAGAGUUCGGUAGGGGAGACUGGAAUUCCUGGUGUAGCGGUGAAAUGCGCAGAUAUCAGGAGGAACACCGGUGGCGAAGGCGGGUCUCUGGGCCGAUACUGACGCUGAGGAGCGAAAGCUAGGGGAGCAAACGGG